Molecule: ribosomal RNA, 2054 nt
Filed under: Conticribra weissflogii
Lineage: Eukaryota; Bacillariophyta; Thalassiosirophyceae; Thalassiosirales; Thalassiosiraceae
Description: partial Bacterial large subunit ribosomal RNA
Rfam family: Bacterial large subunit ribosomal RNA
Source: RNAcentral
GACACGUGAAAUCCUGUCUGAACAUGGGGGGACCAUCCUCCAAGCCUAAGUACUCCUUAUCGACCGAUAGUGAACAAGUACCGUGAGGGAAAGGUGAAAAGCACCCCGACGAGGGGAGUGAAACAGUUCCUGAAACUGGAUGCCUACAAACAGUUGGAGCCCAAGGUUCGUCCUGGGUGACAGCGUACCUUUUGUAUAAUGGGUCAGCGACUUAUGUUCAGUGGCGAGGUUAACCGUUUAGGGGAGCCGUAGGGAAACCGAGUCUGAAUAGGGCGAUUUAGUCGCUGGGCAUAGACCCGAAACCGGGCGAUCUAUCCAUGAGCAGGUUGAAGGUUGAGUAACAUCAACUGGAGGACCGAACCCACUGUCUUUGAAAAGCCAGGGGAUGACUUGUGGAUCGGAGUGAAAGGCUAAUCAAGCCCGGAGAUAGCUGGUUCUCCCCGAAAGCUAUUUAGGUAGCGCCUCGGACGAAUACCACAGGGGGUAGAGCACUGUUUCGGCUAGGGGGUCAUCCCGACUUACCAACCCCAUGCAAACUCCGAAUACCCAGGAGUACAAUCACGGCAGACAGACAGCGGGUGCUAACGUCCGUUGUCGAGAGGGCAACAACCCAGACCGCCAGCUAAGGUCCCCAAGUACCAGUUAAGUGGGAAACGAUGUGGGAAGGCUCAGACAGCUAGGAGGUUGGCUUAGAAGCAGCCAUCCUUUAAAGAAAGCGUAAUAGCUCACUAGUCGAGUCGGCCUGCGCGGAAGAUGUAACGGGGCUCAAACUGGUCACCGAAGCUGCGGCUGCAUACUUUGUAUGCGGGGUAGGGGAGCGUUCUGUAAGCCUGCGAAGGUGAGUUGAGAAGCUUGCUGGAGGUAUCAGAAGUGCGAAUGCUGACAUGAGUAACGACAAUGCGGGUGAAAAACCCGCACGCCGGAAGACCAAGGGUUCCUGCGCAACGCUAAUCGGCGCAGGGUGAGUCGGCCCCUAAGGCGAGACCGAAAGGUGUAGUCGAUGGGAAACGGAUUAAUAUUUCCGUACCUUGGAUAGCUGCGAUGGAGAGACGGAGAAGGCUAGGUGAGCCGGGCGACGGUUGUCCCGGUUUAAGCGUGUAGGGAGUGGACUUAGGCAAAUCCGGGUCCACAAUUCUGAGACGCGACGACGACUGCUCUUUGAGAGCGGGAAGUCAUUGAUGCCCUGCUUCCAGGAAAAUCUUCUAAGCUUCAGGCUAUUCGAGACCGUACCCCAAACCGACACAGGUGGUCAGGUAGAGAAUACCAAGGCGCUUGAGAGAACUCGGGUAAAGGAACUAGGCAAAAUGGUGCCGUAACUUCGGGAGAAGGCACGCUGGUGGUAGGUGAGACCCCUUGCGGGUGGAGCUGACGCCAGUCGAAGAUACCAGGCCCCUGCGACUGUUUAUUAAAAACACAGCACUGUGCAAACACGAAAGUGGACGUAUACGGUGUGACGCCUGCCCGGUGCCGGAAGGUUAAAAGGAGAUGUGAGAGCGUCGAAUUGAAGCCCCGGUGAACGGCGGCCGUAACAAUAACGGUCCUAAGGUAGCGAAAUUCCUUGUCGGGUAAGUUCCGACCUGCACGAAUGGUGUAACGAUCUGGACACUGUCUCAGCCAUGAGCUCGGUGAAAUUGUAGUAUCGGUGAAGAUGCCGAUUACCCGCAGUGGGACGAAAAGACCCCGUGAACCUUUACUAUAGCUUAGUAUUGGCUUUGGAUAAGUAAUGUGUAGGAUAGGUGGGAGACUUUGAAGUGGCGUCGCCAGGCGUUGUGGAGUCAUUGUUGAAAUACCACCCUUUGCUUAUCUAGAGUCUAACUUCUUGCGAAGGACAGUGCUUGGUGGGUAGUUUGACUGGGGUGGUCGCCUCCAAAAGAGUAACGGAGGCUUCUAAAGGUUCCCUCAGCACGCUUGGUAACCGUGCGUAGAGUGCAAUGGCAUAAGGGAGCUUGACUGAGAGACAUACAGGUCGAUCAGGUACGAAAGUAGAGCAUAGUGAUCCGGUGGUUCCGCAUGGAAGGGCCAUCGCUCAAAGGAUAAAAGGUACUCCGGGGAUA